UGUGUAGGUAGGUUCAGCCUUCAGCAAGGCCAGGCACCAGCAUGAUGGAUAGGUAGGGUUCACUGCAUGCAUGCAUAGGCAGAGAAAUGGACAGGGCAGCAUCAAAUCUCUCUAGGUACAAUGAAAAAAAAGUUGUCUUUCUCUAGCCACACAUUCAAAUUAUGAUUAUGAUUAAGAGGAGGCAGUUGAGAAGAAUUACCAAAGCCGGCCACGAAUUAGAUAUAGUGAUUAUCUCUUGCAUGAUUAGGUAACUGCUGG
This 258-nucleotide long non-coding RNA is filed under the name Setaria viridis. Its description in RNAcentral is "long non-coding RNA (SVIR_LNC003816)". The record is from RNAcentral. Lineage: Eukaryota; Viridiplantae; Streptophyta; Magnoliopsida; Poales; Poaceae.